UACGUAGGGUGCAAGCGUUGUCCGGAAUUAUUGGGCGUAAAGAGCUCGUAGGCGGCUUGUCACGUCGGCUGUGAAAACCUGGGGCUCAACCCCGGGCCUGCAGCCGAUACGGGCGGACUCGAGUUCGGCAGGGGAGACUGGAAUUCCUGGUGUAGCGGUGAAAUGCGCAGAUAUCAGGAGGAACACCGGUGGCGAAGGCGGGUCUCUGGGCCGAUACUGACGCUGAGGAGCGAAAGCGUGGGGAGCGAACAGG
This 253-nucleotide ribosomal RNA is filed under the name uncultured bacterium. Its description in RNAcentral is "partial 16S ribosomal RNA". It matches the Rfam family "Bacterial small subunit ribosomal RNA", at positions 524 to 776 of the family's 1533-position model. The record is from RNAcentral.